RNAcentral lists this long non-coding RNA (293 nucleotides) under Amphimedon queenslandica. RNAcentral's name for it is "uncharacterized LOC109589541". Lineage: Eukaryota; Metazoa; Porifera; Demospongiae; Haplosclerida; Niphatidae. The record is from RNAcentral.
UUUAAGUUUUUGAUAAGAACUUCAUCAUUUUAGCAGUUUCAGAACAGUAUCUACUUGAGCUGACCAUAACUUCAAGAUUUAUGUGUGAAUGUGAUUCAGAACAAUAACAUUUUAUAAUGGAUCCUUUAAGAAAUAAUUAUAGUAAAUUCAUAAGUUUUUAAUGACACAGUGAUAUUAUAGCUUUAACACAAUAGCAAACUGCUGCAGCAGCUGAUAUAUGAACUGAAUAUUUCAAACUUUGAUUGAAUAGGAAUAACAAAAGAAUUUUUAUUUUACCACGAGAAAUGAAAGUA